UACGUAGGUGGCAAGCGUUGUCCGGAUUUACUGGGUGUAAAGGGCAUGUAGCCGGGCUGACAAGUCAGAUGUGAAAUUCCGGGGCUCAACCCCGGACCUGCAUUUGAAACUGUUGGUCUUGAGUAUCGGAGAGGCAGGCGGAAUUCCUAGUGUAGCGGUGAAAUGCGUAGAUAUUAGGAGGAACACCAGUGGCGAAGGCGGCCUGCUGGACGACAACUGACGGUGAGGCGCGAAAGCGUGGGGAGCAAACAGG
RNAcentral lists this ribosomal RNA (253 nucleotides) under uncultured bacterium. RNAcentral describes it as "partial 16S ribosomal RNA". It matches the Rfam family "Bacterial small subunit ribosomal RNA", at positions 524 to 776 of the family's 1533-position model. The record is from RNAcentral.